GAUGAAGAACGUAGCGAAAUGCGAUAAGUAAUGUGAAUUGCAGAAUUCAGUGAAUCAUCGAAUCUUUGAACGCACAUUGCGCCCGCCAGUAUUCUGGCGGGCAUGCCUGUCUGAGCGUCAUUUCAACCCUCAUGCCCCUAGGGCGUGGUGUUGGGGAUCGGCCAAAGCCCGCGAGGGACGGCCGGCCCCUAAAUCUAGUGGCGGACCCGUCGUGGCCUCCUCUGCGAAGUAGUGAUAUUCCGCAUCGGAGAGCGAUGAGCCCCUGCCGUUAAACCCCCAACUUUCCAAGGUUGACCUCAGAUCAGGUAGGAAUACCCGCUGAACUUAAGCAUAUCAAUAAGCCGGAGGA
This 349-nucleotide unclassified non-coding RNA is filed under the name soil metagenome. RNAcentral's name for it is "partial contains 5.8S ribosomal RNA, internal transcribed spacer 2, and large subunit ribosomal RNA". The stretch from base 1 to 120 matches the Rfam family "5.8S ribosomal RNA", at positions 35 to 154 of the family's 154-position model. The record is from RNAcentral.